Molecule: long non-coding RNA, 2838 nt
Organism: Cygnus olor (mute swan)
Lineage: Eukaryota; Metazoa; Chordata; Aves; Anseriformes; Anatidae
Exons: 8
Source: RefSeq, a predicted model, not a curated record
UUCUUACUGGGGUGGUAUGAGAUAGGGAUUCUCCUUGUAAGCUGCAUUUUGUGUGGUGAUGACACCUUGGUGGAGGCAGUUGUGUUCCCUACCCACCGAGUCAGCAGCUGCCUGACCUCCUGCUGCAGCAGAUCUCAGCUCAGCUGAACUCCUAACCUACUAAGUAAGGAUUUCUUUUCGUGUUUUAGUAAGAAAGGGCUGGUAUCUUCCAUUUGGGAGAGACAGUUUUCCUUCACUCAAGGUGGAAAGUUGAUGAGCCAAGCAAGAGGUGAUGUAGCUGGAGGACUUGUCAUGGAUAUAGACAAUUGCUCAGUAAUGGCUGUGGACUGCGAAGACAGACAUUAUUGUUUUCAGAUAACAUCUUUUGAUGGUAAAAAUGGAUAUGCACAAUAAGCAACAUAUCUAAACAGAUAUAUCUAAGCGAAAACCCUGAGGCAACUUCACUAAAAUUGAUAGUAUCAGUAAUCUCUUCAGAUAUAGAUGUACUGAAAAUUAAAAAGGGAUUAACUGGACCUAAUUGGGUAGCAUGGGAUUAAGCUGAGUACUUCCUACAUGUCUAAUCUGAAGCUUGUCAUUGUAUGGGUUGAUGGUGCUUCAUGAAUUAAUGAAAGCAUACAUUCCGUUGUUUCAUUCAUCUAGAUGCUUAUGUAGAACGCAUGAAAAUGAUAUGGCUUUUGUUUGGUAUAACAUUUUGACAGCUGCAAGACCUUUUAGUUGUAUUGUGUAUAUGAUACUUUGUUGCAAAUUAACAUGACAAAUAUCUGGACAGAUACAGAUAUUUUCCUUCUCUAAAAUCCUCUUUACCCAGUGAUUUCUUCCACUGGCUUUACCCCAUGAAGUGAAGCCAUCAAUAUUAAAUACUGAUACUUCAGAAUUAGUGAUUUAAUGAAAGAUUAAAGUGGAAUUCUUCAGCUGUACAAGGUCCAUUAUUUGCUGAAAUAACAUUGUUACGUAGUGGUUACUUCAUAGUCAUUCGUGUCUUGGUUUUUCAGAAACCUAUAAACGUUCCCUAAUUUCAAGUGCAGACUUUUGAAUCUCCACGUUUUGUUAGUUAGUAGUUAAAGACAACGUGUCUCAAGUGAGAUUUUUAUUUUUUCUGCAUGGCUACGUUUGCUUAUUUUGUCAGACUUAUCAUUGCAAUUUUACUGCUGGCUUUUACUAACAUAUGUAGUAUUAUAAAGCACAUACAAUAGCAGGAAAUGUUACAAGUUAAAGAAAAUACUACAACUAUAUUACUGAAAGGGGACAGACAGUUUAUAACUUCUGUCAAUUGCAUGUAAAACUAAAAUCUGAAAAUGUGCUUUGAGGGCAAUGUUUUCAGUUAGUUUUUCCCAUCUCUCUAUUGCAGGAAAUUGCUGCACGUGUAAAUCAGUCAGCUUUAGAAGCUGUUACUCCAUCCCAUUCCUUUCAGCAGAGGCACGAGAGCAUGCAUCCAAUUUUGCAAUCUCAUCCUACUGCAGCUCGUACUAGCAGCACAGGGUCACUGGGAUCCGAAUCAGCAACUUUAUCUGCACUUUCCUUGGAUUCACUUGUUGCCCCUGACACUCCUAUGCAAUUUGACAUAAUAUCUCCGGUUAGUGAAGAUCUGCCUGGUCAAGCAAAAUCUUCAGGGCAGGCAGCAGCUUGGGUUAUUUCCUCUUGGAAAUUCAAGAGAAAUUUGGUAGCCCUGCUUCCAGGUGAUGAUGGCAUACGAUGACACUCUUCUGAACCUGAAAGGAGUAAAACCCCAUUGAUGUUUUCAGAAAGCUGCAUUUGAAAUAAAACCAGUGACUUUUUUCAAUGCACAAAUUCUUUUGGUGAAUCUGGAGGCUCAAAAUCUGAAACAGAAGAUUCAAUUCUUCAUCAGUUGUUUAUUGUAAGAUUUCUUGGCUCUAUGGUGGUGAAGUCUGAUGAAAGUCCAGACAUUGCUUAUGAAUGAAUGCGUUAAAUACUAGCAGCUCAAGCUAUCCAUAACAUUUUCCGGAUGACAGAAUCAUAUUUAUUAGUCACGUGUGACUGUUUAAAGUAAGUUUGCUUCUGACUUCUACUGAUGUUUACUUAUAGAGUAAUCUUCAUUCACUUUGAUAAAAUUUACUUUCUGAUUUGUUCUUAAAAACAAUUUUUAGGUUAAUCAAUCCACAGACACAAGUUACAAGACUAUGAGUAAGUAACUUUACAUUUUGAGAUAAAUACCCAGUGACAUAUUUCUCUUACUUUGAAAAUAUUAUGAAAUGUUAGCAAAAAUCACUGACAGCAUGAAAUUUCCACAAAAAUUUCCAUGAAAACUGGGAGACAGAUGCAAACAUCUAAACAUAAACAGAAAAACACUAGAAAAUCAGGCUUAAGGGGAAUGAUCUUAAUAGGAGAAAUAGGUUUUUGAAACAUUUUUUCCAUGAUUUGAUAGGGUAAAAUCUUAAGAAAAUAAGAAUAUUUUAUUUUAAUAAUGUGUUUGUUUUGAAAUAUAUAUGUGGUAGAGAAGUAUCAUUAAGAUUGGAGUUAAGUAAGUUCAGAAGUCCAAUAGGUUUUGGUUGGUGUUUGGUUUUGUAUGUUGUUUUUAAUCCAUAAUUAUGUUUAGUGUUGUAUGUUUUUUUGAUUGUUUAUUUAUUUUUUUUGCAAUAAAUAUACAUGGAAAAAAAGGUGGAAUUCUUCAUAGCAUAUGAAAUGUGGCAAGCUUAAUUCUUCAGUAUUAGCAAUCUUUAUUUUUCGUAUUUCGAAACUCUUCCUCCCCUCUCUGUCCUUUGUUUCUGCACAGUUUCAGGUCUGUCAUUUAACUUCUUUGGGUCUUUUAAAGAUGCUCAACUCGUCAGGAACUCUAAAUUACCAUUUCCAUAAAAAGAAAUCCUAAGCAUAUGAAACCUU